Nicotiana tabacum (common tobacco) is the source of this 858-nucleotide non-coding RNA. Lineage: Eukaryota; Viridiplantae; Streptophyta; Magnoliopsida; Solanales; Solanaceae. The record is from RefSeq and is a predicted model, not a curated record.
AACUCAUAUGUUCUCUCUUCGUCCUUCAAAUCCAGAGCAUGCAUGAACAUUAUCUUCAACUUCAUCAUCUUUAUUUGAUGUCCAGAGGUCAAACGCAGUGACCUCUAGACAUUAGGUUGGACUAGCGGUCCGUUGGCUUCAACGGUCUUCUUCCUCCAUCCUCGUGCCCAGGUAAAAGUCUCUGUUGUUUUCCCCUCUGUUCUUUUCUGAUUUCAUCGUGUUGCUAUCAUCAUCCAUCAUUCAUCACUUUCCACUAUCUAUUUUGAACCAAUCGGAACCCUAAGGCUUGAAGGACACUAUAAAUACGAUCUUAAAUGCUCUCACCUAACAGACACCAACAUACAUCAAUACACACUUAAUACUACUGAUCCAUACACUGAAAGAAUUAAUAGUUCAAGUCUUAAGUUCCAGCAGUUCUUUUCUAAUUUCUCUUUUCUUCUUUUUAUUUUCUGUUCGAGUGCAAUCUAAUGUGAGUUGAUCGUAGUAAGUUUGGAUACCUUAGACAACUGUUAGCAUCUGCUUGGUUGCUGCUCCACAAAAGCCUAUUAUCAGAUCUUGAGCCGCAACAUUUCUGUCACGUCUACUGUUCGUGCGUGUGACCUUGGGCCUGUUUGAGCAUUAGACCCAAAAUCAUCCAGAGUCCAGUUCUUUACUCUUAUUCCUUUUGAAUUCAUUGCGAUACUAUUUGAUAUGUGUAUAUAUGUUCUUGAAUGACUAACAUUUAUUAUUGUAUAACUUUAAAUACCUUUGAUUGUACAGGAAACAUAGACAAACUAAAAGACUGUAGGUAAAAAUAAAAAGGAAUGGCUGUCUCUUGUAUCAGUUAAAUGACUUCAACUUAUCUAAUUAUUUCUAUUA